RNAcentral lists this ribosomal RNA (253 nucleotides) under uncultured bacterium. Its description in RNAcentral is "partial 16S ribosomal RNA". It matches the Rfam family "Bacterial small subunit ribosomal RNA", at positions 524 to 776 of the family's 1533-position model. The record is from RNAcentral.
UACGUAGGCAGCAAGCGUUGUUCGGAGUUACUGGGCGUAAAGGGUGCGCAGGCGGUCCUGUAAGUCUGGUGUGAAAUCUCCCGGCUCAACUGGGAGGGUGCGCUAUAAACUGCGGGACUAGAGUGUGGGAGAGGAAAGUGGAAUUCCUGGUGUAGCGGUGAAAUGCGUAGAUAUCAGGAGGAACACCGGUGGUGUAAACGGCUUUCUGGACCAUAACUGACGCUGAGGCACGAAAGCGUGGGUAGCAAACAGG